CAACUUCAUCACAAAUCAUCUGC
This 23-nucleotide non-coding RNA is filed under the name Cricetulus griseus (Chinese hamster). Lineage: Eukaryota; Metazoa; Chordata; Mammalia; Rodentia; Cricetidae. The record is from RNAcentral.